RNAcentral lists this ribosomal RNA (465 nucleotides) under Vreelandella stevensii. RNAcentral's name for it is "partial 16S ribosomal RNA". It matches the Rfam family "Bacterial small subunit ribosomal RNA", at positions 338 to 795 of the family's 1533-position model. The record is from RNAcentral. Lineage: Bacteria; Pseudomonadati; Pseudomonadota; Gammaproteobacteria; Oceanospirillales; Halomonadaceae.
CCUACGGAGGGCAGCAGUGGGGAAUAUUGGACAAUGGGCGAAAGCCUGAUCCAGCCAUGCCGCGUGUGUGAAGAAGGCCUUCGGGUUGUAAAGCACUUUCAGUGGGGAAGAAAGCCUUGGGGCUAAUACCCUCGAGGAAGGACAUCACCCACAGAAGAAGCACCGGCUAACUCCGUGCCAGCAGCCGCGGUAAUACGGAGGGUGCGAGCGUUAAUCGGAAUUACUGGGCGUAAAGCGCGCGUAGGCGGUCUGAUAAGCCGGUUGUGAAAGCCCCGGGCUCAACCUGGGAACGGCAUCCGGAACUGUCAGGCUAGAGUGCAGGAGAGGAAGGUAGAAUUCCCGGUGUAGCGGUGAAAUGCGUAGAGAUCGGGAGGAAUACCAGUGGCGAAGGCGGCCUUCUGGACUGACACUGACGCUGAGGUGCGAAAGCGUGGGUAGCAAACAGGAUUAGAUACCCGAGUAGUC